GACCUGGUGGUGAAAUGAAUCACACCUGCUAUAUAUGAUGUAUGCCCCUACUCGUGUGAAGCAGGAGGUCCCGGUUCGAUUCCGGGUCGGGUCA
Molecule: non-coding RNA, 94 nt
Organism: Mycena latifolia
Lineage: Eukaryota; Fungi; Basidiomycota; Agaricomycetes; Agaricales; Mycenaceae
Source: the annotation of a GenBank genome assembly